RNAcentral lists this long non-coding RNA (2710 nucleotides) under Triticum aestivum (bread wheat). RNAcentral's name for it is "long non-coding RNA (TAES_LNC022799)". Lineage: Eukaryota; Viridiplantae; Streptophyta; Magnoliopsida; Poales; Poaceae. The record is from RNAcentral.
UCGAGUUCUCUUAAGAUCCAUAAGAGAAGUAGUCGCAGAACUGAAAUGAACAACCCACAAAGCUUUGACAUGCAAAUGCAGUGACAAGGCGCCCGGCCCGGAUGGCUUCACCGGGUUUUCUUCAAGAGUUGUUGGGCCAUCAUCAGGCAUGAUAUUAUGAAGGCCAUCUUUUGCUUCUGUAACCUCCGCACGGCCAACCUUCAUUGGGUCAACUCUGCCAACAUUAUACUGCUCCCAAAGAAGGAUGGAGCUGAAGAAAUCUCCGAUUACCGUCCAAUUAGUCUGAUUCAUGCUAUUCCCAAGAUCAUUGCAAAGGUCCUUGCCAUCCAUCUUAGCCACCACAUGCUCCACCUUGUCUCCAACGCGCAGAGUGCUUUCAUCAAGACAAGAAGCAUCCAUGACAAUUUCAUGUAUGUGAGGAAUCUUGCACGGAGGCUCCACAAGUGCAAAAUCCCUUCGCUUCUCUUCAAGUUGGACAUUCGGAAGGCAUUUGAUUCAGUCAAGUGGGAGUAUAUCAUUGACCUCCUCCGCCAUAGGGGGUUCCCGAGCAUUUUCAGAGAUUGGAUCACCGCCCUACUUUGCUCCUCUUCCUCGCGGAUUCUUCUUAACGGCGUCGCUGGCAGCCCCAUCAUCCAUGGCCAGGGUCUCCGGCAGGGGGACCCUAUAUCCCCCUUGCUAUUUGUGCUCGCGAUCGACCCACUCCAAAGAAUUCUUGAGAUGGCAGCAACUAGAGGGCUAUUUCAUAAAAUCCGUGGCCGUGGGGUUCUUUUACGAACCUCCCUUUAUGCGGACGACGCGGCGGUCUUCAUGGCACCCAUCAAGCGCGAUAUUGACCACCUCUCCAACAUCCUUCGUCUUUUUGGUGAUGUCACCGGUCUAGCCACCAACUUUCACAAGAGCUCGGUCAUCCCAAUCCGUUGUGGGCACAUCAACCUGUCGGACAUCCUUCAAAAGCUUCCGGCGGCGCGCGGAUCCUUCCCCAUGAAAUACUUAGGCCUCCCGCUCUCUGUGUGGCGGCUCAGGAAGGUGGACUUUCAGUUCUUGGAGGAUAAGGCGGCGGCAAAGUUGGUCCCUUGGGACGGGCAAAACAUCACGUCUAUGGGACGCACCGCCUUGGUCAAGUCAGUGCUUGCCUCCCAAGCCAUAUACUUCAUCACUACGCUCGUCGUCCCCACAAGCACCCUCAAAAAUCUCAACAAGCUUGAGCGAGCGUUCCUUUGGGAGGGAACAGACAAGACCACCGGGGCCAAAUGCAAGGUUAAUUGGGACGCCGUUUGCCGCCCAAUUGCCAAUGGGGGUCUUGGAGUGCUAAACACGGAGAAAUUCGCUAGGGCACUGAGGAUUCGUUGGAUUUGGUUUGAGUGGAAGGAGCCAACUAAGAUGUGGGUUGGCAUGGGCAACCCGUGCGAUGACGCAGACUACAACUUCUUCUAUGCCUCCUCAACUAUUAUCGUGGGAAAUGGCGCGCGCGCCCCCUUUUGGGACUCUCCGUGGGUGCACAACCGCAAACCCAUGGAUUUGGCCCCUCUCAUCUAGGCGGCGUCAACGAGGAAGAAUUGGAAGGUGCGGGAAGCACUAAAGGAUGGCGCUUGGGUUAAAAAGAUCAAGAUGACGUCCGAUUUUUCUAUAGAGCACUUCAGACAAUUUCUCGAGCUUUGGGCCACCAUCCGGGAUUUUCACCUACAGGAGGAUAUUGACGACGACAUUGUUUGGAAGCAUUCUACUAGUGGCCUCUACACGGUGGAGUCCUCCUACAAAGCGCAAUUUCUCGGCCUCAUUCGCUCUCCCUUGGAGCAUGCAGUGUGGAAAAUCUGGGCUCCACCCAAGGUCAAGUUCUUUGCUUGGCUGUCCAUCCAAAAUAGAGUCUGGACUGCGGAUCGAUUGGCCAAGCGUGGUUGGCCUAACUGUGGCUCAUGCCCCCUAUGCAUGCGUGAGAAUGAAUCGGUUGACCAUCUCUUCUUCAAAUGUCGUUUCACUGUUCGCCUAUGGGGCUUGGUCAAGGCGUGGCUGCAACUCAUUCACAUUGACACCUCUACUUGGCCCCUGAGGCAUUCCACCUUAGACUGGUGGCUUGGGUUGACUGAUGCUUCCGUCCCCAACCGGAAGGCCAUGGCCUCGCUCACCAUGCUCACUACAUGGACGAUCUGGAACGAGCGAAAUGCUCGUGUAUUCCGCAACAUGGCCGCUCCGCCCACGGUUCUUCUCGACAACAUCAAAAGGGAGGCAUCAUUUUGGGUCGCCGCUGGAGCUAAGAAGCUAGGGUCCAUCAUGCCGGGAGAGUGAUUCUUCCGUGUAUUGUUAAGGGGUGUUUGUAACACAAACUCUAUUCUCUCUUAAUUAAUAUACGUGGCAAAUCUUUUGCCCGUUUUAAAAAAAAUGCAAAAGGGGUGAGAGGGCAAUCGUAAAGAAACAGAAGUUAAAUAUAAAAUAUAGCAAUCUCACAUCAGGAUAUGACUCGAGAGCAUUAUCGCCAGUUAAAAGUGAACCAUGCUUGAAACCUUUAUUUUCAAAAACAUUGCACCUACAUGCAGCAAAAAUCCAUAAGUCAAUGAUCAAUAAAAUAGUGUCCAUGAGCGGGACAAACUAACAAAUUUAUGUGUAUUGAUUAAUCAUACAUCCAAAUCAUAUAAUAACCCGCAUUGGUCCUUCUUCGGACAUUUCUUCUUUACUGAGCAUAGACAGAAACAAUUGAGAGAUAAUAGAGAGAAGG